AGCUCGACGGGAUCGACCGCGCGGGUCACCACAAGAUAGUCACGCAGCGAGAUGCCAUGCCGGUUUUC
Molecule: non-coding RNA, 68 nt
Organism: Mycobacterium xenopi RIVM700367
Lineage: Bacteria; Bacillati; Actinomycetota; Actinomycetes; Mycobacteriales; Mycobacteriaceae
Source: Rfam